This is a long non-coding RNA of Condylura cristata (star-nosed mole), 623 nucleotides long. RefSeq lists it as uncharacterized. NCBI's taxonomy places the organism in Eukaryota, Metazoa, Chordata, Mammalia, Eulipotyphla, Talpidae. The transcript is spliced from 6 exons. The record is from RefSeq and is a predicted model, not a curated record.
GGGGCGGAGAGCUCCUGGACGUCAAAGAGCGGGAGUGGCCUCUCCUCCAAUCCUAGACUGGAUAGGACCACAUUCUGCGGUCGCUAGGCGCGGAAGAAAUUUGGGGAUAGGCCGAAGGCAAACCUAAUGAAAUGGGAGGGAAGAAUUUAGAAAGGUAACACCCCAUUCUGAUAUGGAGUAUUCUGAUAUGGCAUAUGUAUAUAUUCAUUCAUAUAUAAAUGAAAUGAUUAUUAUUUUAAGACGAUUCAAAGAUCUGGUGAAGUGGACAGACCCACAUUAAGUAUGAUGGAGAUUGCUGAAACUACUGGAACAGAUGAGUCCCUGGUGAAUAGAGAAAAGGAGGAGCAUAAUUCAGGAUUUAAGAGCCCUGGAGAUUAACCUAAGACUUGCAACAACCUGAGAUUUUCAUAACCUUGAAGAUAACCAGUCUAUGAAUACAACAGCUGUGAAGUCAGCAGCCUAAGAGCCAUGGAGAGACAGAGAACUGGUUUAGAGUACCUUAGUGUCAGGGAAUUCUCACUAUUUGACCUGACAACUUCCUGGAAACCCCAGUUUGCAGGACUUUAUUUUAUCUGGCUCAGAUCUCAGUCAAGAAAAUGUAACCAGUUUCUUGGGUCAAAAAA